CUGGAGCUGGGGACCGAACCCAGGGCCUUGCGCUUGCUAGGCAAGCGCUCUACCACUGAGCUAAAUCCCCAACCCCCUUUACUGACUCGUAAGCAGUGCACUUUCCUCAUGUCAUGGAUGCUUGGCUGUUAGUCCCACAGAGAUUCUGUGAUGAAGUCUUUUGUGAUUAAGGUCUAGGCUGUUCUCUUUUGCAGCUUCUAUGAAGCAAGCAGCUCUUUCUGUCUGCUGGCCUGCCUCUACUCGCAGGAAGUCCUGUGGCCCUUGGCCAGACAAUUUGGGUGUAGGCAGGUCAGCUCAGCAGUCAGUUCACCUCCAGCUCCCCUCCAUUCUUGUUCUCUGGGCCUUUCUAGGACAGAGUCAGACGUUCUCCCAGUGUAGGGCAUAUGUAGGCCUCUGUCCUUUCGAAGCCCCCCUGUCCUGACUUGCCUGUAUCUCUCUCACUUCCUCUUCUCCUGGAUACCUGGGCAAAGGUCGUCUCCACAGCACACGGUGCUUCCGGGAAU
This 503-nucleotide long non-coding RNA is filed under the name Rattus norvegicus (Norway rat). Its description in RNAcentral is "long non-coding RNA NONRATT015349". The record is from RNAcentral. Lineage: Eukaryota; Metazoa; Chordata; Mammalia; Rodentia; Muridae.